UACGAAGGGGGCUAGCGUUGCUCGGAAUCACUGGGCGUAAAGCGCACGUAGGCGGAUUGCUAAGUCAGGGGUGAAAUCCUGGAGCUCAACUCCAGAACUGCCUUUGAUACUGGCGAGCUUGAGUUCGGGAGAGGUGAGUGGAACUGCGAGUGUAGAGGUGAAAUUCGUAGAUAUUCGCAAGAACACCAGUGGCGAAGGCGGCGGACUGGCGCGAUACUGACACUGAGGUGCGCAAGCGUGGGGAGCAAACAGG
RNAcentral lists this ribosomal RNA (253 nucleotides) under uncultured bacterium. Its description in RNAcentral is "partial 16S ribosomal RNA". It matches the Rfam family "Bacterial small subunit ribosomal RNA", at positions 524 to 776 of the family's 1533-position model. The record is from RNAcentral.